Long non-coding RNA from Microtus oregoni (creeping vole), 4786 nucleotides. RefSeq lists it as uncharacterized. The transcript has 7 exons. NCBI's taxonomy places the organism in Eukaryota, Metazoa, Chordata, Mammalia, Rodentia, Cricetidae. The record is from RefSeq and is a predicted model, not a curated record.
CUUAUAGUAGUAAUGUGUAAUGUUUGAUUUUUUUAACCUGUAUUCCAACUUUACAAAAUAAAAUAACUUUAUAAAAUAACUUAUUUCUAGUUUGCAAUCUCAGUGCAAUUACUAGACACAUUUUGUGAUAAUAAAGAGUCUAUAACUUUGUAAAUUUAUAAAUUUUGGUUUCUGAGAUACGGUUUCAAUACAUAAAAGUUUAAAAAUUGUUUAAUAUUUAUAUAUUUUUCAUCAGAGAUUAUUAACGUUGGAUAUCUAUUGUUCCCUCUGAAGUACUUUAAGAAAAAGUAGGCUAUAUGAUAUAUAAGGCAAUAUUAGUUACGGAGUAGAGUUCGGCUGUAUGCGGAACACCAACCAGCACCUACCAAGAGAGACCAUGCGCAGCUGCACAUCCAUUUGCGACAUCCUGGGCUAUCAAGGGCUAUCAAGAUACUGUCAGCAGAAAGUAUGGAAGCAGAAGAACCGAACCCCUCCCUACAGGAACAGAAGUAUAAGAAUAUGUAUUUUAUCAUUUCCGUUUCUCAAAUUUAAUAACACAAGGCCUGUAGCUUAAGAUGAUUAUAAUAUAACAUUUAAAAUAUUGUUUUUCAAUAGAAGUGGGGUUUGUGGUAUUGUAAUUGAAGAAAAGAACAAUUUACAUAUAGAUACAUUUUAGUUUUCAAACUAAGGUAUAUAAUUAAGAAUACUAAUAAUACGUGGGUGAUUGAUUUGUUUAAGGUAGACAAUGUAUAUCUGCUUUGAGAUUGCCAUCUAGAAUAAAUGAAAAAUUUAGGCAAACAGAAAACAUGUUCUCUAAAGAGAAAGGAGUAAGACUACUUCUGUCUUUGUAUAUUUUAAGGUCUUUGCUAAUAAGCAUCUUAACAACAAGAAAUAGACCUUUUUUUCCCAGUAGCAUUGAUUGUCAACGUCCCGGGAGUGAUGGGUUGCCUUAUUCCAAAGUUCUGUUUUUGAACACUCGAGGAUCUCAUGUGACAGCAAAGAGUAUUGCGUUAGCCACGAAGUCAUGACGACAGACUUCUUAAAUCUACGUUUGUGAUCAACUUUUGGAGUUGAAGACAAAUUACUUUUAAAGUGUUAUCUGCAGCCUAGAGGUAUUCACCGAAAUGGAUAAUCAUUGUUUAUACAAGAUUGCUAAUUGGAAAAAGGUCUAGAAGGUGUGGAAUGAAUGCUCUUACCAAUCAUUAAAAUUGAACUAGCUAUUUGGAUGGAGACUGGAAGAUGUCUUUGAAGACUUUUAUAUAUAUUUAAAGACUUUUGCUGUUUCUGAUGAACUAACUCAAGAAAAGUAUGAUGACACUGACCUUAACUUCAGUGUUUUCGGCGCUGCUCAUAAUGACUGCAGGAAUAUUUCCUGUAGUCAAAUUAAUGUUCAUACUUGUCAAGUUGGAAAAAAAUGCAGCUUUAAUUUUGUUUGCACCACAUUUAAUAGAUUUAAGUAGGACAGAAUAGAUUAAGUUGAGUCUUCCUAUACUACUUCAAGGAGGAUUCUGGGAUUGCAGUCAUGUAUUACAGAGACAGGUCAUGUGGUUCUGAGGCUCAAACUCAGAGAUUCCUGUGGCUCAACAACUACUCUACCAAUUGAACUAUUACAUCCCUAGCUAAAGAAUGCAGUUUGCCUCUAAUCCGGGAAUAGUGUUGCACAACUGUCAUCCCUAGCUCCUUACAACUCAACACAGAGAGGCUGAAGGCCUGAGGCCAGCUUGGCAACUCUGAGACCUCUUCUCCACAUCUCAACAACAAAAAAGGUGGUGACCAUCUUGAUAAACACACCAAAAAUACCUUCUGAAAAGGCUUUGUCUACAGGAUCUCCCAAGUACAGUUAUUAAAUUGAUUGUUUCUGGAGUCCCUUAUCAUCUCACAACUUGCACAGGAGACUUCAGUGGAAUAGAAACGGUCUGCUUUGGGCAAGUAACUGACUGGAAUGUUCAGUUCUUUUGCUUUCAGUACAUCUCGUAUUCUCAUAUUGUAUGUUACCUAUUUUCUCUUUCAUAUUUCACUUUUUGAGCAGAAGAGACUUUUGUGUGGGGGUUGUACAAUUAAUGUGCACAGAUUAUUUUUUUUUUUUACGAUACUUCAGAUGGUAACAAGGUUUUCGGAGCAAUUGAGUUUACCUGCACACCAGUUUUGUUAUCAUUUGUGAGACGGUUUCCUCCUCCUUUAAACAAGAAAUGCAGAUUUUAGGCAGGCCCCAAGAAGAUUCUCUUACAUAAUGUGUUCUCUAGAGAAGGUCCUCUGGCUGCUGCUUUACUGACGUUAAUGACCUCUGUCUGGGGCAGAAGUACAAGUUUCUGUGGUUUGCCUUUUCUUCAAUACCCCAACUGCAGACGUCAAUGCCAUUGAAACUAUGAAUAUGUAAAGAAAUGUAAGCCUUGCACUGACGAGGCGAGACAUGGGGCUGCUAUCUUGUAGAAUGUGUGGCAUCAUCAUUUUAUCGGUAUUCCCCAUGUCCUUUUAGGUCACUGUAUCAAAGACAUUUGAAUUAUUACACUUGUUCCUGCUUAACCUAAGUGAAGUUAAUAUACAGGACUUUUUUUUAAAAAAAGUAUUAGUUAUUUGCUUCUAGACCAUAAGUCAUGCUGUUCAUUGGGGAAAUACUAUCUGCAUCUCUCAAUAUCUUUUAAUAGUUGUUAAGUCUAAGAACACUUGCUAAGAGUUUUUAAAGUGUGUGUGCAUGUAUGUCUUCUUGUGAGUAUGUUCAUGUUCGGUAUCUGCAGAGGUCAGAAAUGAAAGCAGUCCCCCUAAAGCUGGAGUUUGAGGUGAGCCAUGAUUGCUCAACCCCCAGAUAUUUUAAGAUUAUUUACUAAUUCCUUUCAUUGAAUGAAAGUUGGUGUGAUUUACCAGCACAUUGUUUAAUAGGAGCCAGUAAGAUGUCUCCCUGGAAAAAGAGAUUUCCAUCAAAGCCCCGAUGUAUAUCUCUGGAAGCCAGGUGGGAAAGAAUAUAGCAGAGAACAGAAUACUUAAUGGAUUUUUUUUUAAUCUCGUAAAUUUGGAGUACAACUCAAGUCUUUUUACUUAGUAUAUUAUUGUAAGGUUUCAGCUGGAUUCUUGCCCUCUUCUGUGUUUUUUAAUAAGGCCCAUUUAGUUUACACGCGGUGGAAUCCCCUUUUUAAUAGCAAAGUUAAAUUAAUGAAUUUCAGUUAAUCAUGUUAACAUUUGUUUCUCGUGUUCAGAUUGACUUUGAUUCUAAUCAGACUCAGUGACAGUACAUGAAACAGGGGAAAAUAAAACAAUUUAUCAGUUUGUGUUAGGGAUUACAAAACUUUUUUCUGUAAACCUCCAGAUUUAUGGAUGCUAUUGUUGCAACCAGGAAUCUGUUCUUGCGGUAUAAUAGUACCCAGGGCUAAUUCUUAAACUGCACCCCGGUAAAUAGUUAUGCUGAACAAACCUGGGGCCAGAUUUGAACUCUAGCAGAUGAUUUUGAUCACUUGGUGUACUGUAUGGUUCAUCCAGAGGCUCUUUGAUAGAUUUUGAAACAGAAGAUACACAAUGCUUUUGCUUGUACUCGAUUCUGAAUCGUCUCCAUCAGCGGGUCUCAAGCUGUGGCUUGUGUCCCCUUUUGGUAUUCAACAUUCCUUUAACAGGGGUCACCUAAGACUAUUGAUAACAGGGAUUUAUAUUACAAUUCCUAACAGUAGCCAAAUUGCAGAUAUGAAUUAGCAACAAAAAAUAAUUUUAUGAUUGGGAGGUUACCUAAGCAUGAGUAACUGCAUUAAAGGGUCACAUUAUUAGGAAGAUUGAGAAGCACUGAGCUACGUGUUCAAAUAUAUAGUUGUUGAAUGAAAUACUUAAGGCUUUUGGUACUUGGCCCUUCAUAUUUUUUUUUUUGCAAUUUUUAAAGCUAGGUGUUUUAGUACAUUGAAAUAUCACCGUCAACAAUGAUUAAGGCAUUCUCUGGUCGUUCAUUCUUGAUCUUCUAGCCGUGAUGAGUUAAGCCUUCAUAAUAUAUAUAGUAGUUAGUAGCUUUAUUAUGUUUAUGUAAAUUGUAUGUGGCGUUUGUAGAUGUAUGAUCUUUGUAUUAAUGUUUUUAAACUUUCUUUUUUAAUAUGGCACAGAGGUAUUUCCAAACCAGUAGUUUAAGUUUGCAAAAACAUGCUUUGCUCUAUAUGUGAUAUUGUUGAUGAGAUUGUACAUAAUUAUAUCACUAUGAAAAUAUUGUGAUAAUAUUAUAUCAUCAUCUAUGGUUUCUGUCAAUGUUGUGAAAUUGCUCUUAAAGGUUAUCCGGGCUAAGCCAGAGAAGUGGUGUCAUGACAGUGCUAAUUUUCAUAAAUGUGUUUACUAUGUUUCAAAAACAUUUAAAUCAUAGUCAAUCUAAUCAGUGAAAUCGUGUUUUUAAAAACCUAAGCCUACUUUAAAUGUUAAGUGGCCAAGAUCUUACAAAAAUAAGUACUUUUUUUAGAUGUAAAAAAAACUCUAAAUGUCUCCAAAUUUUCCACUUCCUCCUAAAUCCCUUGAGUAUAUACUAUGGUAAUGAGCUUUUUCUUUCUCUUUUAUUUUGAUAAAAUUUUGGGGCUGUAUGCUCUUUAUCUAGUCUUCCUCUCUGCUGUCCUCUCACUCACCGUUUCCUUCCCUUUCUUCUCAUCCUAUUUCUGUUUAUUUAUGUCAUGUAGUUCUCUGAGCUACAUAUUAGCUGCAGAUAUGAUCUCCUAAUUGUCCAAUAUUUUUUGUGCGUGUGUGUUCCUUUAAACCUGACUUAAAAUUUAAGAACUCUGAUGUGUUAGUUUUGCUUUAUCAUAUUGCAUUGUAUUAUACUAAUUAUAUUAUUAUAUUAAUUAUAUCAUAAAACUAA